UACGGGGGGGGCAAGCGUUGUUCGGAAUUACUGGGCGUAAAGGGCUCGUAGGUGGCCAACUAAGUCGGACGUGAAAUCCCUCAGCUUAACUGGGGAACUGCGUCCGAUACUGGAUGGCUCGAGUUUGGGAGAGGGAUGCGGAAUUCCAGGUGUAGCGGUGAAAUGCGUAGAUAUCAAGAGGAACACCUGCGGCGAAGGCGGGUUGCUGGGCCGGCACUGACGCUGAGGCGCGAAAGCCAGGGGAGCGAACGGG
This 253-nucleotide ribosomal RNA is filed under the name uncultured bacterium. RNAcentral's name for it is "partial 16S ribosomal RNA". It matches the Rfam family "Bacterial small subunit ribosomal RNA", at positions 524 to 776 of the family's 1533-position model. The record is from RNAcentral.